This 1365-nucleotide ribosomal RNA is filed under the name Gastroptychus investigatoris. RNAcentral's name for it is "16S ribosomal RNA". The stretch from base 1067 to 1226 matches the Rfam family "Archaeal large subunit ribosomal RNA", at positions 2544 to 2703 of the family's 2987-position model. Lineage: Eukaryota; Metazoa; Arthropoda; Malacostraca; Decapoda; Chirostylidae. The record is from RNAcentral.
UACUAAUAUUUAAUAUAAACUAAAUAUAAUAAAAAAAAUAAUUUUAAAUCUUCUUAAUUAGUAAAUAUUAUUAAAAUAAAUUUAAAAGGUGAUAGAAAAAUAGUAUUGUAAAAGAAAUUUUUAAAACAAAUAUUUUCUUUUAAAGAAGAUUUUAAAAGUUGUAUCUUGUGUAUCAUAGGUGAUUAAAAUUAUAUUUAAAUAAAUUCAUCUCGAAAAAAAAAGAGCUAAGUUAUUAUUUAAGUUUUUAUUGCAAUAAAAUUUAAAAUAAAUAACUUAGAGGUGAUAUAUUAUUCGGGUUUUUAUAUCUAGUUUUUAAUAAAAUGAAUUGAAUUCAUUUUAUAUUUACAAUUAAAUAUAAAAUAAGAAAAUAAAGGUAAAGCUUUAUUUUCAAAAAAUUCUAAAAUAGGAAGUUAAUCUAAAUAUUAAAUAAAAUUAGAUUUUAUAGUAGUCAUAUUAAUAUUGUUUUAUAACUAAUCACAUUAACUAAUAAAAAUUUAUUUAACUUCUAUUUACACUAAUUAAAAUUAAUUUAAAAUAAAAACAAAUUAGUUAUAAUAAUCUCAUUAGUAUAUAAUUUAAUAUAAAUUAUAAUAUAAAUUAAAAUUAAAAUUUUUAAUAUUUAUUGGUUUAUAAAAGAAAUUCGGCAAAUAAAGUUUCCGCCUGUUUAACAAAAACAUGUCUAUAUGAAGAUAUAUAAAGUCUAACCUGCCCACUGAAUAUAUUUAAAGGGCCGCAGUAUUUUGACUGUGCGAAGGUAGCAUAAUCAUUUGUUUUUUAAUUGAAAACUUGUAUGAAUGGUUGAACGAGAAAUAAACUGUCUCUUAUUAAAAAAAAUUGAAUUUUACUUUUAAGUGAAAAGGCUUAAAUAAUUUUAAGGGACGAUAAGACCCUAUAAAUCUUUAUAUAUCUUUUAUAUAUUUCUAUUUAUGUGUUUAUAAAAAUAUAUAAAAUAUAAUAUUAUAUUGGGGUGAUAAGAAUAUACAAUUAACUAUUUUAAUUUAAUAACAAUUAUUUUUGAUUUUAUUUAAGAUCCUUUUUUAAGAUUAAAAGACAAAGUUACUUUAGGGAUAACAGCGUUAUUUUUUUUAAGAGUCCUUAUUAUAAAAAAAGUUUGCGACCUCGAUGUUGAAUUAAAAUAAUCCAUAUGGUGUAGCAGUUAUAUAGGAAAGUCUGUUCGACUUUUAAAUUUUUACAUGAUUUGAGUUCAGACCGGCGUGAGCCAGGUUGGUUUCUAUCUUUUAAUAACUCUUAAAUUAUUUUAGUACGAAAGGAUUUGAUAAUUUAAAUAAUUUAACUCUUAGAUUAUUAUUACUUCUUAAAAUAGUGAUUGGGGGGUUGAUGUUUGUUUUCCCCCGAAAAAGAAAA